This 484-nucleotide ribosomal RNA is filed under the name uncultured bacterium. RNAcentral's name for it is "partial 16S ribosomal RNA". It matches the Rfam family "Bacterial small subunit ribosomal RNA", at positions 30 to 507 of the family's 1533-position model. The record is from RNAcentral.
AUUGAACGCUGGCGGCAGGCCUAACACAUGCAAGUCGAGCGGAUGAAGGGAGCUUGCUCCUGGAUUCAGCGGCGGACGGGUGAGUAAUGCCUAGGAAUCUGCCUGGUAGUUGGGGAUAACGUCCGGAAACGGGCGCUAAUACCGCAUCCGUCCUGAGGGAGAAAGUGGGGGAUCUUCGGACCUCACGCUAUCAGAUGAGCCUAGGUCGGAUUCGCUAGUUGGUGGGGUAAAGGCCUACCAAGGCGACGAUCCGUAACUGGUCUGAGAGGAUGAUCAGUCACACUGGAACUGAGACACGGUCCAGACUCCUACGGGAGGCAGCAGUGGGGAAUAUUAGACAAUGGGCGAAAGCCUGAUCCAGCCAUGCCGCGUGUGUGAAGAAGGUCUUCGGAUUGUAAAGCACUUUAAGUUGGGAGGAAGGGCGGUAAGUUAAUACCUUGCUGUUUUGACGGUACCAACAGAAUAAGCACCGGCUAACUUCGUG